Molecule: ribosomal RNA, 243 nt
Filed under: uncultured Actinomyces sp.
Lineage: Bacteria; Bacillati; Actinomycetota; Actinomycetes; Actinomycetales; Actinomycetaceae
Description: partial 16S ribosomal RNA
Rfam family: Bacterial small subunit ribosomal RNA
Source: RNAcentral
AGCCACAGGCGCGACGGGUAGCCGGCCUGAGAGGUGACCGGCCACACUGGGAUGAGACACGGCCCAGACUCCUACGGGAGGCAGCAGUGGGGAAUCUUGCGCAAUGGGCGAAAGCCUGACGCAGCGACGCCGCGUGAGGGAUGAAGGCCUUCGGGUUGUAAACCUCUUUCAGGAGGGACGAAGCGAGAGGGACCCUACCUGCAAAACAAGGGCCGGCUACCUACGGGCCGCCACCCGCGGACU